AGAGUAGCUCAACUGGUAGAGCACCGGCCUCCAAAGCCGGGGGUUGCGGGUUCGAUCCCUGCCUCU
RNAcentral lists this transfer RNA (66 nucleotides) under marine eukaryotic metagenome. It matches the Rfam family "tRNA". Rfam says of the family: Transfer RNA (tRNA) molecules are approximately 80 nucleotides in length. Their secondary structure includes four short double-helical elements and three loops (D, anti-codon, and T loops). The record is from RNAcentral.